CGACGCUGGCGGCACGCCUAACACAUGCAAGUCGAACGAAGUAGCAAUACUUAGUGGCGAACGGGUGAGUAAUAUGUGGGAAUCUGCCCUUCGGUCUGGAAUAACAUGGGGAAACUUAUGCUAAUACCGGAUAAGCCUUUACAGGGAAAGCUUUAUGCUCCGAUUGAUGAGUCCACACUUGAUUAGUUAGUUGGUGAGGUAAUGGCUCACCAAGACAAUGAUCAAUAGCUGAUUUGAGAGGAUGAUCAGCCACAUUGGGACUGAGACACGGCCCAAACUCCUACGGGAGGCAGCAGUGGGGAAUCUUGCACAAUGGGGGAAACCCUGAUGCAGCGAUGCCGCGUGAGUGAAGAAGGCCCUUGGGUUGUAAAGCUCUUUCGUCGGGGAAGAAAAUGACUGUACCCGAAUAAGAAGGUCCGGCUAACUUCGUGCCAGCAGCCGCGGUAAUACGAAGGGACCUAGCGUAGUUCGGAAUUACUGGGCUUAAAGAGCACGUAGGUGGUUAAAAAAGUUGGUGGUGAAAUCCCAGGGCUUAACUCUGGAACUGCCGUCAAAACUUUUUAGCUAGAGUAUGAUAGAGGAAAAGUAGAAUUUCUAGUGUAGAGGUGAAAUUCGUAGAUAUUAGAAAGAAUACCAAUUGCGAAGGCAGCUUUCUGGAUCAUUACUGACACUGAGGUGCGAAAGCAUGGGUAGCGAAGAGGAUUAGAUACCCUCGUAGUCCAUGCCGUAAACGAUGUGUGCUAGACGUUGGAAAUUUAUUUUCAGUGUCGCAGCGAAAGCAUUAAGCACACCGCCUGGGGAGUACGACCGCAAGUAAACUAAAUGAUGACG
Molecule: ribosomal RNA, 831 nt
Filed under: alpha proteobacterium SCGC AAA288-B13
Lineage: Bacteria; Pseudomonadati; Pseudomonadota; Alphaproteobacteria
Description: SSU rRNA
Rfam family: Bacterial small subunit ribosomal RNA
Source: RNAcentral